RNAcentral lists this ribosomal RNA (309 nucleotides) under uncultured bacterium. Its description in RNAcentral is "partial 16S ribosomal RNA". It matches the Rfam family "Bacterial small subunit ribosomal RNA", at positions 504 to 808 of the family's 1533-position model. The record is from RNAcentral.
AGAGACAGCAGCAGCCGCGGUAAUACGUAGGUCCCGAGCGUUGUCCGGAUUUAUUGGGCGUAAAGCGAGCGCAGGCGGUUAGAUAAGUCUGAAGUUAAAGGCUGUGGCUUAACCAUAGUACGCUUUGGAAACUGUUUAACUUGAGUGCAAGAGGGGAGAGUGGAAUUCCAUGUGUAGCGGUGAAAUGCGUAGAUAUAUGGAGGAACACCGGUGGCGAAAGCGGCUCUCUGGCUUGUAACUGACGCUGAGGCUCGAAAGCGUGGGGCGCAAACAGGAUUAGAUACCCGCGUAGUCCCUGUCUCUUAUACC